Molecule: ribosomal RNA, 253 nt
Filed under: uncultured bacterium
Lineage: Bacteria
Description: partial 16S ribosomal RNA
Rfam family: Bacterial small subunit ribosomal RNA
Source: RNAcentral
UACGAAGGGGGCAAGCGUUGUUCGGAAUUACUGGGCGUAAAGGGCGCGUAGGCGGCUUAUCAAGUCAGGCGUGAAAUUCCCGGGCUCAACCUGGGGGCUGCGCUUGAUACUGAUGAGCUUGAAUGCGGGAGAGGAUAGUGGAAUUCCCAGUGUAGAGGUGAAAUUCGUAGAUAUUGGGAGGAACACCGGUGGCGAAGGCGGCUAUCUGGCCCGUAAUUGACGCUGAGGCGCGAAAGCGUGGGGAGCAAACAGG